GCGAAGUCGGAAUGCAUGCUCGGUGUUGAUGCUGCCCAGCAAUGGGAUGUGCUCGCUCGAAUGUGUGUCCCUUCUCUAUCCACCCCAUUGUGAACCAAGUGUUGUGAGCCGAAAGAGAAAUCGGAGGCCUCGCAUGCAAACCCUUAACAUACCCCAAUUGAAGUAUCAGAAUGUACCUUGCGUUAACUCGCACAAAUAUAACUUUCAACAACGGGAUCUCUUGGCUCUCGCAUCGAUGAAGAACGCAGCGAAAUGGCGAUAAGUAAUGUGAAUUGCAGAAUUCAGUGAAUCAUCGAAUCUUUGAACGCACCUUGCGCCCCUUGGCAUUUCCGAGGGGCACGCCUGUUUGAGUGUCGUGAACUCCUCCACCCUUUACCUUUUUCGAAGGGCAUUGGGCUAGGGAUUUGGGAGCUUGCAGGUCCCAUGGUUGAUCUGCUCUCCUUGAAUGCAUUAGCGAAGCCCUUUGCGGCCUUGGUGUGAUAAUUAUCUGCGCCUUGGUUUAGCAAACCUAUAGGGACUUGCUUCCAACCGUACCUGCAUGGGACAAUCACUACCAACUUGACCUCAAAUCAGGCGGGACUAGCCCGCAUGAACUUAAGCAAUAUCAUA
This 609-nucleotide ribosomal RNA is filed under the name Peniophora sp. UFMGCB 1849. RNAcentral describes it as "eukaryotic LSU rRNA". The stretch from base 200 to 356 matches the Rfam family "5.8S ribosomal RNA". The record is from RNAcentral. Lineage: Eukaryota; Fungi; Basidiomycota; Agaricomycetes; Russulales; Peniophoraceae.